RNAcentral lists this ribosomal RNA (440 nucleotides) under uncultured bacterium. Its description in RNAcentral is "partial 16S ribosomal RNA". It matches the Rfam family "Bacterial small subunit ribosomal RNA", at positions 338 to 795 of the family's 1533-position model. The record is from RNAcentral.
CCUACGGGAGGCAGCAGUGGGGAAUAUUGCACAAUGGGGGAAACCCUGAUGCAGCGACGCCGCGUGAGUGAAGAAGUAAUUCGUUAUGUAAAGCUCUAUCAGCAGGGAAGAAAAUGACGGUACCUGAGUAAGAAGCCCCGGCUAACUACGUGCCAGCAGCCGCGGUCAUACGUAGGGGGCAAGCGUUAUCCGGAUUUAAUGGGUGUAAAGGGAGCGUAGACGGCCGUGCAAGUCUGGAGUGAAAGGCGGGGGCUCAACCCCCGGACUGCUCUGGAAACUGUACGGCUGGAGUGCAGGAGAGGUAAGUGGAAUUCCUAGUGUAGCGGUGAAAUGCGUAGAUAUUAGGAGGAACACCAGUGGCGAAGGCGGCUUACUGGACUGUAACUGACGUUGAGGCUCGAAAGCGUGGGGAGCAAACAGGAUUAGAUACCCCUGUAGUC